This is a long non-coding RNA of Megalopta genalis, 1139 nucleotides long. RefSeq lists it as uncharacterized. Lineage: Eukaryota; Metazoa; Arthropoda; Insecta; Hymenoptera; Halictidae. The record is from RefSeq and is a predicted model, not a curated record.
ACGAAGAUUUCCCGACGAAAAGCAACCCUUGCCAUUCGGUUACCUACAAAGAAAACGAGGGUGAUCGCGAGUGGAGGCGGUUCGGUUGCUGCGCAGACGAGGGUCGACGAGGGUUAUCUUCGCCGAGCGGCGAGGAGACGGUGGAAGGGAGGAAGCUUUAUCGUCCCGAGACUCGCUCCGUUUCGCCCUGGAUUUUUGCGGGACACUAGCCAGCAGGAAGACAAACGCACAGACACGUUUUACACGCACACAGAGACGCGGCGUGCACGCGCAUUCGCCUCCCUUUCUCCGUCCGCUUGUUCGUGUUGCGUAACGUAUCAAUUUCGCACCGCGUAUACUUUCGUAAUUAACAGAAUUCGUUAAUACCUAUUAAUAAACCGCAAUAAGCACAGCGCGCGCAGACUGGACCGUCGCAGAUAAUACGGCGGCACGGCGUAGAAAAUGUUUUGGUUAACCAGCCGAACGGGACGGUGUUGUCAUCUCCGUGUCAACAGCGUGUUGACUUCUGCGAAUCUGGGAAUAAAAAAGGGAACGAAGAAAUCAUGAAGUAACAUCACUUACCAUCCACCGAAGUGGAAGACGAAAUGGCCGAUGGUCCUUCCGUGUUCUUCGGCCGUUCCUCCAUUUCAAGGUCGCCACUGACGACUUCCGUCGGCGCGCAUGCGCACUACAGGAAUGCCCACAACACGAUCCACACGAAACACGAUUCACCAUCGAGCCACAAUUGAACAACAAAUAUUUCGGAAAUAUGGCCACCGGCGUGCGCGAUAGAUUCGUUUUUUCUUUCUUUCGCUGGCCCGUUAUCAUUGGAGUGUCUCUCCCGGCGAUUUUCUCUCUCCUUUUUUCUUCUUCGCGGAAGAUUAGGCAACCGCCAUCUUGAACCGCGAGUGGGGAGAGUUCAUUAUCUGGCGCAGAACGAUCAAACGGAUGGUCAGAAUCAAAGAAGUUUUGUUGCCUUGUCGAAUCGAUUAUUCCACGAAACAGUUAAAAUCUGUUUAUGCUUUUCGAUGUUUCAAUCAUCUUUAAUGAUAAUAAAUUGGAACUCGACGAGCUCGACGCCUCGACGGAACUUAAGGCCAAGGCCCGUCUGAAUUUUUCAAUCAAUUGACUGUACUUGUAAUAAAUUGUAGAAAUGUUUA